CGGGGAAUAUUGGACAAUGGGCGCAAGCCUGAUCCAGCCAUGCCGCGUGAGUGAUGAAGGCCUUAGGGUUGUAAAGCUCUUUCGACGGGGACGAUGAUGACGGUACCCGUAGAAGAAGCCCCGGCUAACUUCGUGCCAGCAGCCGCGGUAAUACGAAGGGGGCUAGCGUUGUUCGGAAUUACUGGGCGUAAAGCGCACGCAGGCGGUGCGAUCAGUCAGAAGUGAAAGCCCCGGGCUUAACCUGGGAACUGCUUUUGAUACUGUCGCGCUUGAAUCACGGAGAGGGUAGUGGAAUUCCGAGUGUAGAGGUGAAAUUCGUAGAUAUUCGGAAGAACACCAGUGGCGAAGGCGACUACCUGGCCGUCGAUUGACGCUCAUGUGCGAAAGCGUGGGGAGCAAACAG
RNAcentral lists this ribosomal RNA (403 nucleotides) under uncultured bacterium. Its description in RNAcentral is "bacterial SSU rRNA". It matches the Rfam family "Bacterial small subunit ribosomal RNA", at positions 355 to 775 of the family's 1533-position model. The record is from RNAcentral.